AGCGGCGAUCACCCUGGAGCACUUAUUAUCAGGAACAUGAACAAUGAAAGAGUACCACCCGGGUCAAAGCCGAUGCACGGACCAAGAGAGUCCACUCCCACCUCGGCCCGGCUGCGAAGGAUUAAAGGGUCCGCCGACCUGCAAAGUGAAAUAAAUGUUCUUACUUCCCUCUUCAAGUUUAA
This is a long non-coding RNA of Rhipicephalus microplus (southern cattle tick), 182 nucleotides long. The record is from RefSeq and is a predicted model, not a curated record. NCBI's taxonomy places the organism in Eukaryota, Metazoa, Arthropoda, Arachnida, Ixodida, Ixodidae.